This 768-nucleotide ribosomal RNA is filed under the name uncultured bacterium. RNAcentral describes it as "bacterial SSU rRNA". It matches the Rfam family "Bacterial small subunit ribosomal RNA", at positions 28 to 776 of the family's 1533-position model. The record is from RNAcentral.
GACGAACGCUGGCGGCGUGCCUAAUACAUGCAAGUCGAGCGAAGUUUUUCUGGUGCUUGCACUAGAAAAACUUAGCGGCGAACGGGUGAGUAACACGUAAAGAACCUGCCUCAUAGACUGGGACAACUAUUGGAAACGAUAGCUAAUACCGGAUAACAGUAUUUCUCGCAUGGGAGAUAUUUAAAAGUUGGUUAUGCUAACACUAUGAGAUGGCUUUGCGGUGCAUUAGCUAGUUGGUGGGGUAAAGGCCCACCAAGGCGACGAUGCAUAGCCGACCUGAGAGGGUGAUCGGCCACACUGGGACUGAGACACGGCCCAGACUCCUACGGGAGGCAGCAGUAGGGAAUCUUCCGCAAUGGGCGAAAGCCUGACGGAGCAACGCCGCGUGAGUGAAGAAGGAUUUCGGUUCGUAAAGCUCUGUUGUUAGGGAAGAAUGGAUAUGUAGUAACUAUACAUGUACGAGACGGUACCUAACCAGAAAGCCACGGCUAACUACGUGCCAGCAGCCGCGGUAAUACGUAGGUGGCAAGCGUUGUCCGGAAUUAUUGGGCGUAAAGCGCGCGCAGGUGGUUUAAUAAGUCUGAUGUGAAAGCCCACGGCUCAACCGUGGAGGGUCAUUGGAAACUGUUAAACUUGAGUGCAGGAGAGAAAAGUGGAAUUCCUAGUGUAGCGGUGAAAUGCGUAGAGAUUAGGAGGAACACCAGUGGCGAAGGCGGCUUUUUGGCCUGUAACUGACACUGAGGCGCGAAAGCGUGGGGAGCAAACAGG